RNAcentral lists this transfer RNA (85 nucleotides) under Felis catus (domestic cat). It matches the Rfam family "tRNA". From Rfam's summary of the family: Transfer RNA (tRNA) molecules are approximately 80 nucleotides in length. Their secondary structure includes four short double-helical elements and three loops (D, anti-codon, and T loops). Further hydrogen bonds mediate the characteristic L-shaped molecular structure. tRNAs have two regions of fundamental functional importance: the anti-codon, which is responsible for specific mRNA codon recognition, and the 3' end, to which the tRNAs corresponding amino acid is attached (by aminoacyl-tRNA synthetases). tRNAs cope with the degeneracy of the genetic code in two manners: having more than one tRNA (with a specific anti-codon) for a particular amino acid; and 'wobble' base-pairing, i.e. permitting non-standard base-pairing at the 3rd anti-codon position. Lineage: Eukaryota; Metazoa; Chordata; Mammalia; Carnivora; Felidae. The record is from Rfam by way of RNAcentral.
GCCUGGGUGGCUCAGUCAGUUGGGCGUCUGACUUUGGCUCAGGAAAUGAUCUCAUGGUUCGUGGGUUCGAGCCCCGCAUCGGGCU